Megalops cyprinoides (Indo-Pacific tarpon) is the source of this 176-nucleotide long non-coding RNA. RefSeq lists it as uncharacterized. The transcript has 3 exons. The record is from RefSeq and is a predicted model, not a curated record. Lineage: Eukaryota; Metazoa; Chordata; Actinopteri; Elopiformes; Megalopidae.
CUCGAUGUCAAGUGCACGCCCCGUUUCCUGUUUACCUGAUUUCCGCCUUGGUCGCAGGUCCUUUUAUGGUGGAUCUCCCCUGGAAGCUACCUAUUUACAGAUCAUUGCUGGUAACCGCGGUUAGUAGCCGAGUAAGCGUAAUGGGCUCUCCCCUUCCCUGAGCAAGUAGACGCUGC